RNAcentral lists this ribosomal RNA (439 nucleotides) under uncultured bacterium. RNAcentral's name for it is "partial 16S ribosomal RNA". It matches the Rfam family "Bacterial small subunit ribosomal RNA", at positions 339 to 795 of the family's 1533-position model. The record is from RNAcentral.
CUACGGGGGGCUCCAGUGGGGAAUCUUAGACAAUGGGGGAAACCCUGAUCUAGCCAUGCCGCGUGAGUGAUGAAGGCCUUAGGGUCGUAAAGCUCUUUCGCCAGGGAUGAUAAUGACAGUACCUGGUAAAGAAACCCCGGCUAACUCCGUGCCAGCAGCCGCGGUAGUACGGAGGGGGUUAGCGUUGUUCGGAAUUACUGGGCGUAAAGCGCGCGUAGGCGGGCUGUUAAGUUAGAGGUGAAAUCCCGGGGCUCAACCCCGGAACUGCCUUUAAUACUGGCAGCCUAGAGUUCGAGAGAGGUGAGUGGAAUUCCGAGUGUAGAGGUGAAAUUCGUAGAUAUUCGGAGGAACACCAGUGGCGAAGGCGGCUCACUGGCUCGAUACUGACGCUGAGGUGCGAAAGCGUGGGGAGCAAACAGGAUUAGAUACCCCCGUAGUC